RNAcentral lists this ribosomal RNA (249 nucleotides) under uncultured bacterium. Its description in RNAcentral is "partial 16S ribosomal RNA". It matches the Rfam family "Bacterial small subunit ribosomal RNA", at positions 796 to 1041 of the family's 1533-position model. The record is from RNAcentral.
CACGCCCUAAACGAUGUCGACUAGUCGUUCGGAGCAGCAAUGCACUGAGUGACGCAGCUAACGCGUGAAGUCGACCGCCUGGGGAGUACGGCCGCAAGGUUAAAACUCAAAGGAAUUGACGGGGACCCGCACAAGCGGUGGAUGAUGUGGAUUAAUUCGAUGCAACGCGAAAAACCUUACCCACCUUUGACAUGUACGGAAUCCUUUAGAGAUAGAGGAGUGCUCGAAAGAGAGCCGUAACACAGGUGC